This 18578-nucleotide long non-coding RNA is filed under the name Gossypium barbadense (sea-island cotton). RNAcentral describes it as "long non-coding RNA (GBAR_LNC013363)". Lineage: Eukaryota; Viridiplantae; Streptophyta; Magnoliopsida; Malvales; Malvaceae. The record is from RNAcentral.
UAAAAAGGUCUGGGAGUUUGAGGUAAAAAUGUAAAAUAUUAUAAUUUGAUAUUCGGGUUAUUUGAAUUAUUCGAGUUCAAAAACCAAACUCAAUUCGAACUCGAAAUUCAAAAAAAAAUUGAGUUGACUCGAAUAACUUGAUUAAUUUAAAUAACUUGAUUCGUUUAACUCGAAAUUUAAUUUUUUUCGAUUUUUUUGAGUCAAAUCGAAAUUUUCUCACCCUUAACUACAUCCGCUGCCAUGCCAACCUAGUUUGACCUCUACUGUGCCAAAAUAUCCACUCUCCACUUGAGAGCCUUCUUCUGUCCAGCUCGGUGUUAGCCUUUGGAUAAGAAUAAAAUGUUAAAGAUACUGACUACUUGGAAAUAGAGAAAAAAAGUUACAUCGAUUACAUUGGAUGUCCCCAAAGUUUUUUCAUAUGAUUAUGACCCUAAUAUUAUGUUUGGUAUAUAUAGGGCACCAUUUGCAGGUAUCCAAAAAACUUGAACUCUUGACCAUGUAAUGACCGUCACCUAGCCCCCCAGUUCCACUCGAACCCGUGGCCACAUCACGGCAUCCAGCUGGGACCUCCACCUAGACUUCGACCCUUGAUCAUAUCAAGCAUUAUUACCCCGAAACCUGAUUUUCCCACGAUGAGUUUUUGAGGUGAUGGUCCUAUCCUGCCAUGACAUAUGAAAUGUAUUUGUUCUGAAGCACGUUAUCACAUCCCGGACCCCUCUAAUCUACUUAUGAACUUUUUUGGUUUCAAUAAAAAAUUUUAAUUCAUAAAUCUAAAAACCAUAACCCUAAGAAAAUUAAAAACCUGAACCUAGGAGAGGAAAGAGAAAGGAAAAGUGCGUUUAGCUGGACACGCUUUCCUGCCAACUAUACAGAAAAUGCACCCACUUUUCAUUUCUUUCUUCUAAAACCAACCUAUUUCCUUAAUUAAAAAAAAGUCCUAAAGGCUUAAUUAAAAAAAACCUUGUAAUCCCCAAUUGGUGCCCGGGGCCCAAACUUAAUACAAACCCAAAUACAACACUCAGCCCAAAUACUUUUAAACCCAAAAAAUGGCCCAAAACACAAUAAUCCACACUGGCCCAAUACCUAGCCCUAACAAUUCUCAACAGCAGAAACCUUAGGUAGUUUUCGUGCUUCAGUGCCGCAGCAACCGCUUCCACGCCCCACGUUCAUCACUCGCGCAUGUCCUCCACGACCUUUACACCUACGGAAAAACUAAUCCAAACGACAGUAGAUGUGGCAAAUAACGGGAUAGAUAGUUUUUAUGAUUAUUUUGGUACAUCUCGGCUAUAAAGAGACUGAUUUAAAUCUAUAAAAUGUGGGGGUUUAGAAAUUUUUUGGUACUGAAAUCAAAAAGAAAAUAUACAGAAAAAUAGUUUUGAAGGUAGAAUUUUGUUUUAUUUUUCUCUGUUCUUUUACUGCCUUUUUUAAGUUAUUUUGGUUCUUUUCUUUUUAUUUCUUAAAAACAAAACACGAAAAGGGUGAGGGGGAGGAGGACUUACCGUCAAGAGAUUCGUUGGGCGCUCUCGUUAGCCGUUAUCUGGUCGGAAAAGGGAGGAGAUUGGAACGGCAGAGGAGGGGUUUUGAGAGGAGUUGCGGCGCACCACAAAAGUGGCAGAGAAAGGGAAUGACUUUAGGGUUUUUAAAAUGGGAUUUUAUUAGGGUUCAAAAGGGGCCAUUUGCGCUAUUGGUCCUUUGCUUUUUGGGGUUGUUUAAAUUAAAUUUAUUAUUUCCUUUAAAUUUUACUGCAUGUUUUAUAAUUGUUUUAAAUUGGUCCUAUGCUGCGCAACAUUGUAGGUUUGGGUAAAUUUCUCGUUCAGUCCUCCCCCUGUUGUGCGUGUUUUAAUUUACUCCCUUUCAUGUUAUUUUGUAAUUAGUUUUUUAAAUUCUGUUUUUUUUAAUUUAAUCCUUAAUUUAUUAUUUUUAGUUUUUAUUAUAUUGUCAAUAUGGUUCAUUUACGUUAUUAUUACUGUAUGGUUAUUAGUUCAUUAUUAUAUGUUAUAUUAUUAUUAUAUUUGUUUAUAUGCGCAUAUGCCUCUUAAUAUACAUAUAUAUACCUUUUUAAAACGUUUUAAAUAUAUACUAUAUACAUAUCAUAUAUUUUAUUAUUAUUUUAUUUUUCUUAGCUUUAUAUUCAUAUGUAUGCGUAUAUAUUUUUAUAAUAUUUAUAUUUUUUAUAUCUUAUGAUCCAAAAAUAAAUAUUUUUUAUAAUAUGUAUACACAUAUACUUACGUUAUUCCAUAUUUUUAUAAAUAUAUCCGUUAAAUUAUAUAUAUAUAUAAACAUACAUAUGUCAAUACUUUUUAUAAUUACUAAAUAUUAUGCUUAUAUUUUAGUUUUUAUAAACUUUAUAUAUAUAUUUAUUAUGUUUAUUAUUUUUGUAUACAUGAAUAUAUAUGCAUCAAUAUUUUGUCAUACUUUAAAAAAUAAAUAUUUUGAUUUUAUCAAAACAUUAAAAUUAUUUUUAUGAUUCAAAGGUUUUCAAAAUAAAAAACGAUAUUCAAAGUUAGGGAUUCUCGAGGAAAAUUGAGCCCUAACGCAUUGAGUUCCGAUUUUCUUUGUUAAUUCUAAAUAACCGAGAAUAUGAGUUAUUUAAAAUAUAUAAAUAAAAAUCAUUUUCGGGAAUUCAAUAUGUUAUGUCCUAACGCAUUGGGCAUGACAUAUUGCUUUCUCGAAAUGAAGAUUUUCUUUAAUUUUUUUUUUAAAAGGUGAUAUUCAAAAUUCGGGGAUUUUGAGAAAAUUUAUCCUAACGUAUUGGGUUUCAAUUUCUUCGCAUGACUUGAAUACUUGAUUAUCCUUUUCGGAUUUCAAUAUUUGAGUUUAACAAAAUCUUUUUAAUUUUCGAUACCAAGACAUUAAAUAAUCAAUUUGGUACCGAUUUUUGGGCGUUACGAGGGUGCUAACCCUUCCUCGUGCGUAACUGACUCCCGAACCCAUUUUCUCAAAUUUCGUAGACCAAAUUUGUUUUUAAGGUGAGCCGGUCACACCUAAAUCAUGGAUCGGUGGCGACUCCAAUUUUUUUUUUCGAUAACCAAAUUUUUGUUUAAAAAUGGUUUCGACAGCUUGGCGACUCCGCUAGGGACUGGUUAGAGAGUCGAGCCGUAAAUUGAUUAAUUUUUGUCUUUUGGUCGAAAAGUCAAAUUUUGUUUUAAAAUUCAUGAUUUCCCCUUUGCAUUCAUGGGUUCUUAUUAUGAUAUGUUUGUUUAAUUGGUCUAAGUUUGUUAGUGUGUUUGCAUUUUGCAUUACAUGGACGAUUUUACCCCUCUAAGUGGGAGUGAGAAGCUACUCCUUCGUGAGGUGUUCACCUCCGUGCAGGAUAGUGGAUCGCUUUCGGGAUACAUCUGUACCUAUGUCUUCAUGAGAUUUUCAUCUCUGUGUAGCCAUAGGGAAAUGUAUUCCCCUGAACUGAACUCGGUCUAUAUGAGCCUAUAAUGGGUGAGGAUCGAGGAAUCUGCUGGUUCGGGUACCCUUGCUCUAGAAGCUAAACCUCAUAUAGUGAACUUUAGGAACUUACCAUAGGUAGAAUUAUACCAAACCCUAGUAGUUACCCAAGUAGGUAUUUCAUUAUUUUCUGUUUGUUUUUAUACCUGAUACUGACUUGUUGUGUUUUGUUUUGACUGCAUGACAUUUUGAUUGCAUUGCAUUUUCAUCUUAGAAAAGAAAUGUUGAUUCAAGUUCGAUUACUGACUUAGAAAGCUUGUCAUGGAAUACGGAUUUCUUGAUAAAAUGGAAGAUAAUACAGUUGCCCGAAUAUAUCUUGAGAAACACGAUAAGGGCGAUGGAAGAGUUCAUGACUUUGUGGCCCGAGGAUUCAAGAUGAUUAUUCGAGAGCUGUCGACAUUCCAAAUUCCUUAAAGAAGCUAAUAAGCCUUACGAGGAUGGGCAGACGAUGGAUUGCAACCAAUAUCAAGUAAAAAGGAGCUAGUAGUGCUGUUCAUUGGAAAUUUGCGAGAUUUAUCUUAAACAUCCAGAUGAAGUAAGAGGUCGAUGUUUCUUGGAGUAUGAGGGCGAGGCCGUACAUGCAUCCGUUUUGUGUAAAGAAGUUUGUCUUCUAGUGAAGUUUUCUAAAUAGAAUUGAAUCAGAAUCAACGUCUCUUUAUGCAUUCAUUUCAUGCAUUCGCAUUACAUGACAUCAUAUGCAUUAAAAUCCAUUAAAAAGGCCUAAUUGGGUAAAAUUGUUUCAAUCAAUUUGGAAAAUCGACACCCUUAUGGCACCCAAGUAAAGACUAGAGAAAUGGACCAAAGGUUGGAGAAAUUAGAGCGAAUGUAAAUACAGAUGCAAGAGCAACUAACUGAAUUUCAACAGGAAAUGAGAGAUAUGAUAAUGGAAUUACAGAGAGCUAUUACGAAUCAGUUAACCCGGUUGCUAGCUGGAGAGUUAGAGAAGGGAAAGACUCAGUGGUUCAUUAUGUGGUUGAUAAUGAGGAUCUUGCCUAUUCCCUAGGUUGUACUCCAAUAAAUGUCCAGGUCCAGCCAGAUGGGCGUCCACAAGAGGCACUCUUUACUAUUAGAUCCCAACAAUAUCAAACUGGCACAUCGACACCAGUAAGUUGCUUGACAGGCUUAGGAUCCAAUUUGAGGAACAAUUUAGCUAAUCCUAUUGCUAUUGAUAGCCCAGCAGAAGUAAAGUAGGCAAGGGAAGGGUACCCAAAUACUACAAAGGCCCUAAAAAAGAAGGGGAAUAAGAGGGAUAAUGCAGAUAGAUAUAACAAGGGUCACUCAAAACUAAUCACUGUGGGCCGGCCAAGGAUAGAAACUACUAGCCAUCCGAGCCCUUUAAAGCAAGAAUCUUGCACGAAGACAAAUACAGAAAGGCCUCAGUUCACGCCUAUACCGAUGUCAUAUAGCGAGCUAUAUGAGAGCCUAUUUAAUGCAUACGUCGUUGCCCCUUUCUACUUAAAGCCUUUGCAACCUCCGUAUCCUAAAUGGUAUGAUGCAAAUGCUCAGUGUGAAUACCAUGCGAGAAUUGCGGGGCUUUCGAUAGAAAAUUGCACUACUUUCAAGAAACUAGUUGAGAGGUUCAUCAAUAGGGGUAUUGUCAAGUUUGAUGACUCAUCUAAUCUGCUACCCAAUCAUGUUAAUAAUGGGGUAAGAGUGAGAGCAAGAAGGGGAUUAGUUAUUUCUGAUUCAAGAGGUAACCAUAGAAAUGCAUUGAACCAUCGUGAGUUCCAUCACGAGAAGAGAUACGAUACCCAAGAGAGUGUGGAACUCAAGACCUUGGUUUCGGGCAUGAUUGAUGACAAAGAGAUAGAGUUUUGUGAGGAAAUUAAAGAGGAGAGAAAUAUACACACAAUGUUGAGAAGUGUUCACAUCAAUGCCAUAUAUGAAGACACUUGAAAAGGGACCUUGUUAGAUAUCCACUCUUAUAAAUUUGGGAGUGUUCUAAAAAUCAGAUUGUAGAGGAAAUUUCUGUAGUUUUAGAACUUACUUAGAGUAAUGUUCAAAACACACUUGUUGCUUUUAGCCUAGAGGCAAUAAGAAUUCCAUUGUGAAAUAGGCUCAUGUUUGAACGUCAUUAUUCUAUGAAUACAUCUUUGCAUUCAUUUUUGAGCCAAUAUUCUUUCAUUCUUUUCGAAUAAUUCUAGAUUCUUUCAUUCUUUUAGAUUUUUUCCAAAUCAUUCAUUCAUUUAAUUCAUAAUCAUAUUGUACAGAUAACUAUUCAUAAAUUUAACAUUCUUUUGUAUAUUCUUUGGUAUUUAUUAUGGGCCCCCAAAUAUCAAUGACUUGAAUGACACUGCUACAGAUUUAGAAUCUCCUUUUGAGCAAGACAUGUGUUUAGAGGGAUCUCAUGACUUUGAAGAUGACAUAGAUCGUAGCCUAUCUCCAGACUUGUUGAGGAUGGUAGAGCAAGAAGAGAACAAAUUUUACCUCUUGAAGAGACACUGGAGAUUGUGACCUCGAGGGAACAUGUAUAACCGGAGAAACGAAGCAAGACCUUGUUAAGUUACUUCAAGAGUUCAAAGAUGUCUUCGUAUGGUUAUACCAGGAUAUGCCUAGGUUAAGCACUGAUAUUGUAAUCUGACCAAUAGCACAACGUUAAAAAUUUGCAGUAUGUUCAAGAUUCACAUCAUGAACGAUACAGUUAGAAUUCUUUACCGAGGUAAUACCUUCUUCUCUGACUUAUCCCGUUGAAGUCAAGUUGUCAUUUUUUCGUAUUUUUGUUGGAUUUCAUCCUAAUUGAAGAGAAAGAUCCAAAGUUUUUUCAUCUUAGUUAAAUUUCGCCCUAAAAGGCUCUACGAGAGAAACCUAACACCAAAGAAGAUCUUUCGCAUACAAAAUGAAAGUGGAAGAUCUUAUGGGGAAGACCUUAUCUAGAAUAAUAUUGAUUCUGAUCAAAAGGGAUGACCAGGAUUUGCCUAGUCCCAUGGAUGCAGAUUCAAUGCAAAAAAAACAAAAAAAACAAAAACAAAAGCAAAAACAAAAACAAAAAAAAAGAGGGAAAAAGGAAAAAAAAAUAAGAAAAAAAAACAAAAACAAAAAGAAACAAAAAAAACCUCCACCGGGGCAAUGCCUUUCUCUUUAGCUUAUCAUGGUUUUUCCAUUGAAGUUGAAAUUCUUUUUCUCUGGGUAUUGGCUGAGUUGAAGUAGGAUGAAGAUCCAAUCUCGAUAUGAUCAGUUGAACUUAAUUGAAGGAAAAAGGCUAAAAGUUAUUCGUCACGGUCAGAUGUACCAAAAACGGAUAAUGCGAGCUUACAACAAAAAGGUUCGUCUCAGAGAAUUCCACGACAGAGAUUUGGUAUUGAAAAGAUCCUUCAUCUACAAAAAGAUUUUUUAGAGAAAUGAGUGCCAAAUUGGGAAUGUCCUUAUGUUGUAAAGAAUACCUUUUCUGGAGGAGCACUGAUUUUGAGUGAGAUGGAUAGUAAAAACUUGUCUAAUCCUAUAAACUCAGAAUCAGUCAAGAAAUACUUCGCUUAAAGAAGGAGAGGACCAAGGUAAAAAUCCGCAAAGGGCACUUUGAGUCGCAAAAAAAAAGAGAAGAAAAAAUAUGUGAAAAAACAAAAAUGGAAAAAUGAAAAAUUAAAAAUAGAAAAAGUAAAAAUGGAGAGGCUAAGGUGAAAACUCGCAAAGGGCGCCUUAGACCAAAAGGGAUUUGAGUUGAAAACCCGAAAAGGGUGGCUCAAAUUUUGAUCAGAAUAGGGCUGGAAAUGAUUAGAGUGGCUCAGAUUUUGAUUGGAAUGGGGCGUGUGGUGGUCUUGAUAUACCUGAAUCAACAGGAAAAGGUAUGCGACAUCUUGGGGCAUCGACAAAGUAUUGUAGAUAUCCUAAACACAUGUCAAACUCAGAAUGGUCUUUAGGAAGUUUGUACAGAGAAGUUCAAGCUGCGUUAUCUGGGGCACCUAGUCUUCAUACUAUUUAUAUUGAAUUGCUUAUUCUUGGAAUACUUCAUUCUUUUCAAGAUAUGAGUCAAUUCCUCUUUUAUUCUCAAUAUUAUUGAUAUAUUCAUUUCAAGCUAUGCUCUCAAAUCAAUUAUAUUUUAUCCAUUGUUUUAUUCUUUUGGCAAGCGUGUUGUAUUAGAAUAAUGAUUAAUGGACUAAUAAAACUUUCACAAAGGAAGUUUUACAUAUUACUCUAGAAGUUUCUAAAUAAUACAGGAACCUGAAACAAGUCUAUUGUUUAGAAUACACCUAGUUUAAAGGUGGGAAAUCUAAGAAGGAAGAGUCUAAAUUAAGACUAUCUCUUUGGAUUUUGUUGUCAAAGGAAUUAAUUGAACAAAAUGACAAGAUGUCGUGUUGGUGAUAAAGCUUCAUUGAGCAAAUAAGCAAUGAUGAUCAGGCAAUAGAAAGAGGUUACCUCGAAGAAGAGAGCCUUCAUUUUUGCAUGAGUCUUUGGUAUGACACCUUGGGAACGGUGUAAAGAACUAGAACAAUUUAGGUCUUGUAUCCUUGAAUUGUGAUAAGGAAGGAUUGAGGAAAAGCCACAUAUUUUUACCAUUGGGUUACGGUGGAAAAACGAUAGUACAAUUUUUACAUCCCAGUGGAUUAAACUUUGAGGUUUACAGUGGGGGAAACCUGAUUAAAUGUUUCUUCUGAAAAGCCAGCUAAGCAAGAAGGCGUUGUAGCACGUCAGAGAUAAAGCCUUAAUAAACUUUGAGCAAUGAUAACCUAAGAAGGAUCAUUCUUGAAAAAAAAUAGAAUAAAAUUUUGCAUUCAUGCAAACACCAUUCACACCUGUCUAGUUAGGAGCAUUGGAUUCAUUUUGAUCAUGCCAUUAGGCAUAAUUAGGUUCAUUAUACAGGUUAUGUUUUAUAGAGAACAGAUCAGGGGAAAUGGCAGAUCUUGCCUUCCUGCAUAGACAGCGAAGCAGAUCAAAGAUGGCAGAUUUUACCUUCCUGUGGUUACAGUGGAGUACAUUGAAGCCAGUAAUUCUACUUCCCUGGGCAGCAGUGGAAUAGAUUGAAGAUUUCAGAUCUUGUCUCCCUAAGCAGUAGUGGAGUAGAUCAAAGAUGACAGAUUUUACCUCCCUGUGGUUACAGUGGAGUACAUUGAAGCCAAUAAUUCUACUUCCUUGGGCAGCAGUGGAAUAGAGUGAAGAUUACAUAUCUUAUCUCCCUAAGAAGUAGCAGAGUAGAUCGAAUACACUAACCUUGCCUCCCUUGGUGGCAGCGGAGCAGGUUAAAAAAAAUUUACAGAUCUUAUCUCCCUAGGCAGUAGCGGAGUAGAUCGAAGACACUAACCUUGCCUCCCUCGGUGGCAGCGGAGCAGGUUAAAGAUAGCAAAUCUUACCUUCCUAUACUGACAGUGAAGCAGAUCGAAGACGCUAACCUUGCCUCCCUCGGUGGCAGCGGAGCAGGUUAAAAAAAUUACAGAUCUUAUCUCCCUAAGCAGUAGUGGAGUAGAUCGCAACCAGCCUUGUCUCCCUGGCAAUAGUGGAGUAGGUUGAAAAUAGCAGAUCUUGCCUUCCUGUACUGACAGAGAAGCAAAUCGAAGAUACUAACCUUGCCUCCCUCGGUGGCAACGGAACAGGUUAAAGAUAGCAGAUCUUGCCUUCCUGUACUGGCAGUGAAGCAGAUCGAAGACACCAGUCUUAUCGCCUUGACGAUUGAAGCCACAAUGGCAAAUCUUAUUUCCUUGGCGUUGUAGCGGAGUAGAUUGAAGCCACGAAGGCGUAUAUUAUCUCCCUGGCGUUAAGGCUUGGUUUAGCUGAAGUGGAGCGGAUUGAAGUUGUGGGAGGCGAAUCCUAUCUCUUUGGCAUUACAGUGGAACGGAUUGAAGCCACAACGGCAGGUCUUAUCUCCCUGAGGUUGCAGUGGAGCGGAUUAAAACCACAGAUCUUACUCUCUGAAGUUGUAGAGAGCAGAUCGCAUCAGACUUAUCUUUAAAGUUUUAGCAAAAUAAGUUGAAGUUACAAGUCUUAACUCCCUGAAGUUGCAGUGAGGCAGACUAAAGAUAACAGAUUUUGUUCUUUUUAGAAGCUACAAGGUACAAAUCUUAUCUCCCUGAUGUUGCACUGGAGUGGAUCAAAGUACCAAUUCUUAUACCUCUGAAGAUGCAAUUGGUUAGAACGAGGUUACUUGAAGAAGAGAAGCACUGAAGAAGUUGAGGCUCGGUAAGACCGGGCACAAUUGGGCUUUUUAGUCUUUGCUCUGUUCCCAUUACAUGACAACGAGCAAAGAGGGGCAGCUAUAAUACCCAAUUGGUGCUCGGGGCCCAAACUUAAUACAAACCCAAAUACAACACUCAGCCCAAAUACUUUUAAAUCCAAAAAAUGGCCCAAAACACAAUAAUCCACACUGGCCCAAUACCUAGCCCUAACAAUUCUCAACAGUAGAAACCCUAGGUAGUUUUCGUGCUUCAGUGCCGCAGUAACCGCUUCCACGCCCCACGUUCAGCACACGUGCAUGUCCUCCACGACCUUUACACCUACGGAAAAACUGAUCCAAACGACAGUAGAUGUGGCAAAUAACGGGAUAGAUAGUUUUUAUGAUUAUUUUGGUACAUCUCGGCUAUAAAGAGACUGAUUUAAAUCUGUAAAACGUGGGGGUUUAGAAAUUUUUUGGUAUUGAAAUCAAAAAGAAAAUAUACAGAAAAAUAGUUUUGAAGGUAGAAUUUUGUUUUAUUUUUCUCUGUUCUUUUACUGCCUUUUUUUAAGUUAUUUUGGUUCUUUUCUUUUUAUUUCUUAAAAACAAAACACGAAAAGGGUGAGGGGGAGGAGGACUUACCGUCGAGAGAUUCGUUGGGCGCUCUCGUUAGCCGUUAUCUGGUCGGAAAAGGGAGGAGAUUGGAACGGCAGAGGAGGGGUUUUGAGAGGAGUUGCGGCGCACCAUAAAAGUGGCAGAGAAAGGGAAUGGCUUUAGGGUUUUAAAAUGGGAUUUUAUUAGGGUUCAAAAGGGGCCAUUUGCGCUAUUGGUCCUUUGCUUUUUGGGGUUGUUUAAAUUAAAUUUAUUAUUUCCUUUAAAUUUUACUGCAUGUUUUAUAAUUGUUUUAAAUUGGUCCUAUGCUGCGCAACAUUGUAGGUUUGGGUAAAUUUCUCGUUCAGUCCUCCCCCUGUUGUGCGUGUUUUAAUUUACUCCCUUUCAUGUUAUUUUGUAAUUAGCUUUUUAAAUUCUGUUUUUUUUUUAAUUUAAUCCUUAAUUUAUUAUUUUUAGUUUUUAUUAUAUUGUCAAUAUGGUUCAUUUACGUUAUUAUUACUGUAUGGUUAUUAGUUCAUUAUUAUAUGUUAUAUUAUAAUUAUAUUUGUUUAUAUGCGCAUAUGCCUCUUAAUAUACAUAUAUAUACCUUUUUAAAACGUUUUAAAUAUAUACUAUAUACAUAUCAUAUAUUUUAUUAUUAUUUUAUUUUUCUUAGCUUUAUAUUCAUAUGUAUGCGUAUAUAUUUUUAUAAUAUUUAUAUUUUUUAUAUCUUAUGAUCCAAAAAUAAAUAUUUUUUAUAAUAUGUAUACACAUAUACUUACGUUAUUCCAUAUUUUUAUAAAUAUAUCCGUUAAAUUUUAUAUAUAUAUAAACAUACAUAUGUCAAUAUUUUUUAUAAUUACUAAAUAUUAUGCUUAUAUUUUAGUUUUUAUAAACUUUAUAUAUAUAUUUAUUAUGUUUAUUAUUUUUGUAUACAUGAAUAUAUAUGCAUCAAUAUUUUGUCAUACUUUAAAAAAUAAAUAUUUUGAUUUUAUCAAAACAUUAAAAUUAUUUUUAUGAUUCAAAGGUUUUCAAAAUAAAAAACGAUAUUCAAAGUUAGGGAUUCUCGAGGAAAAUUGAGCCCUAACGCAUUGAGUUCCGAUUUUCUUUGUUAAUUCCAAAUAACCGAGAAUAUGAGUUAUUUAAAAUAUAUAAAUAAAAAUCAUUUUCGGGAAUUCAAUAUGUUAUGUCCUAACGCAUUGGGCAUGACAUAUUGCUUUCUCGAAAUGAAGAUUUUCUUUAAUUUUUUUUUUAAAAGGUGAUAUUCAAAAUUCGGGGAUUUUGAGAAAAUUUAUCCUAACGUAUUGGGUUUCAAUUUCUUCGCAUGACUUGAAUACUUGAUUAUCCUUUUCGGAUUUCAAUAUUUGAGUUUAACAAAAUCUUUUUAAUUUUCGACACCAAGACAUUAAAUAAUCAAUUUGGUACCGAUUUUUGGGCGUUACGAGGGUGCUAACCCUUCCUCGUGCGUAACUGACUCCCGAACCCAUUUUCUCAAAUUUCGUAGACCAAAUUUGUUUUUAAGGUGAGCCGGUCACACCUAAAUCAUGGAUCGGUGGCGACUCCAAUUUUUUUUUUCGAUAACCAAAUUUUUGUUUAAAAAUGGUUUCGACAGCUUGGCGACUCCGCUAGGGACUGGUUAGAGAGUCGAGCCGUAAAUUGAUUAAUUUUUGUCUUUUGGUCGAAAAGUCAAAUUUUGUUUUAAAAUUCAUGAUUUCCCCUUUGCAUUCAUGGGUUCUUAUUAUGAUAUGUUUGUUUAAUUGGUCUAAGUUUGUUAGUGUGUUUGCAUUUUGCAUUACAUGGACGAUUUUACCCCUCUAAGUGGGAGUGAGAAGCUACUCCUUCGUGAGGUUUUCACCUCCGUGCAGGAUAGUGGAUCGCUUUCGGGAUACAUCUGUACCUAUGUCUUCAUGAGAUUUUCAUCUCUGUGUAGCCAUAGGGAAAUGUAUUCCCCUGAACUGAACUCGGUCUAUAUGAGCCUAUAAUGGGUGAGGAUCGAGGAAUCUGCUGGUUCGGGUACCCUUGCUCUAGAAGCUAAACCUCAUAUAGUGAACUUUAGGAACUUACCAUAGGUAGAAUUAUACCAAACCCUAGUAGUUACCCAAGUAGGUAUUUCAUUAUUUUCUGUUUGUUUUUAUACCUGAUACUGACUUGUUGUGUUUUGUUUUGACUGCAUGACAUUUUGAUUGCAUUGCAUUUUCAUCUUAGAAAAGAAAUGUUGAUUCAAGUUCGAUUACUGACUUAGAAAGCUUGUCAUGGAAUACGGAUUUCUUGAUAAAAUGGAAGAUAAUACAGUUGCCCGAAUAUAUCCUGAGAAACACGAUAAGGGCGAUGGAAGAGUUCAUGACUUUGUGGCCCGAGGAUUCAAGAUGAUUAUUCGAGAGCUGUCGACAUUCCAAAUUCCUUAAAGAAGCUAAUAAGCCUUACGAGGAUGGGCAGACGAUGGAUUGCAACCAAUAUCAAGUAAAAAGGAGCUAGUAGUGCUGUUCAUUGGAAAUUUGCGAGAUUUAUCUUAAACAUCCAGAUGAAGUAAGAGGUCGAUGUUUCUUGGAGUAUGAGGGCGAGGCCGUACAUGCAUCCGUUUUAUGUAAAGAAGUUUGUCUUCUAGUGAAGUUUUCUAAAUGGAAUUGAAUCAGAAUCAACGUCUCUUUAUGCAUUCAUUUCAUGCAUUCGCAUUACAUGACAUCAUAUGCAUUAAAAUCCAUUAAAAAGGCCUAAUUGGGUAAAAUUGUUUCAGUCAAUUUGGAAAAUCGACACCCUUAUGGCACCCAAGUAAAGACUAGAGAAAUUGACCAAAGGUUGGAGAAAUUAGAGCGAAUGCAAAUACAGAUGCAAGAGCAACUAACUGAAUUUCAACAGGAAAUGAGAGAUAUGAUAAUGGAAUUACAGAGAGCUAUUACGAAUCAGUUAACCCGGUUGCUAGCUGGAGAGUUAGAGAAGGGAAAGACUCAGUGGUUCAUUAUGUGGUUGAUAAUGAGGAUCUUGCCUAUUCCCUAGGUUGUACUCCAAUAAAUGUCCAGGUCCAGCCAGAUGGGCGUCCACAAGAGGCACUCUUUACUAUUAGAUCCCAACAAUAUCAAACUGGCACAUCGACACCAGUAAGUUGCUUGACAGGCUUAGGAUCCAAUUUGAGGAACAAUUUAGCUAAUCCUAUUGCUAUUGAUAGCCCAGCAGAAGUAAAGUAGGCAAGGGAAGGGUACCCAAAUACUACAAAGGCCCUAAAAAAGAAGGGGAAUAAGAGGGAUAAUGCAGAUAGAUAUAACAAGGGUCACUCAAAACUAAUCACUGUGGGCCGGCCAAGGAUAGAAACUACUAGCCAUCCGAGCCCUUUAAAGCAAGAAUCUUGCACGAAGACAAAUACAGAAAGGCCUCAGUUCACGCCUAUACCGAUGUCAUAUAGCGAGCUAUAUGAGAGCCUAUUUAAUGCAUACGUCGUUGCCCCUUUCUACUUAAAGCCUUUGCAACCUCCGUAUCCUAAAUGGUAUGAUGCAAAUGCUCAGUGUGAAUACCAUGCGAGAAUUGCGGGGCUUUCGAUAGAAAAUUGCACUACUUUCAAGAAACUAGUUGAGAGGUUCAUCAAUAGGGGUAUUGUCAAGUUUGAUGACUCAUCUAAUCUGCUACCCAAUCAUGUUAAUAAUGGGGUAAGAGUGAGAGCAAGAAGGGGAUUAGUUAUUUCUAAUUCAAGAGGUAACCAUAGAAAUGCAUUGAACCAUCGUGAGUUCCAUCACGAGAAGAGAUACGAGACCCAAGAGAGUGUGGAACUCAAGACCUUGGUUUCGGGCAUGAUUGAUGACAAAGAGAUGGAGUUUUGUGAGGAAAUUAAAGAGGAGAGAAAUAUACACACAAUGUUGAGAAGUGUUCACAUCAAUGCCAUAUAUGAAGACACUUGAAAAGGGACCUUGUUAGAUAUCCACUCUUAUAAAUUUGGGAGUAUUCUAAAAAUCAGAUUGUAGAGGAAAUUUCUGUAGUUUUAGAACUUACUUAGAGUAAUGUUCAAAACACACUUGUUGCUUUUAGCCUAGAGGCAAUAAGAAUUCCAUUGUGAAAUAGACUCAUGUUUGAACGUCAUUAUUCUAUGAAUACAUCUUUGCAUUCAUUUUUGAGCCAAUAUUCUUUCAUUCUUUUCGAAUAAUUCUAGAUUCUUUCAUUCUUUUGGAUUUUUUUCCAAAUCAUUCAUUCAUUUAAUUCAUAAUCAUAUUGUACAGAUAACUAUUCAUAAAUUUAUACAUUCUUUUGUUUAUUCUUUGGUAUUUAUUAUGGGCCCCCAAAUAUCAAUGACUUGAAUGACACUGCUACAGAUUUAGAAUCUCCUUUUGAGCAAGACAUGUGUUUAGAGGGAUCUCAUGACUUUGAAGAUGACAUAGAUCGUAGCCUAUCUCCAGACUUGUUGAGGAUGGUAGAGCAAGAAGAGAACAAAUUUUACCUCUUGAGGAGACACUGGAGAUUGUGACCUCGAGGGAACAUGUAUAACCGGAGAAACGAAGCAAGACUUUGUUAAGUUACUUCAAGAGUUCAAAGAUGUCUUCGUAUGGUUAUACCAGGAUAUGCCCAGGUUAAGCACUGAUAUUGUAAUCUGAGCAAUAGCACAACGUUAAAAAUUUGCAGUAUGUUCAAGAUUCACAUCAUGAACGAUACAGUUAGAAUUCUUUACCGAGGUAAUACCUUCUUCUCUGACUUAUCCCGUUGAAGUCAAGUUGUCAUUUUUUCGUAUUUUUGUUAGAUUUCAUCCUAAUUGAAGAAAAAGAUCCAAAGUUUUUUCAUCUUAGUUAAAUUUCGCCCUAAAAGGCUCUACGAGAGAAACCUAACACCAAAGAAGAUCUUUCGCAUGCAAAAUGAAAGUGGAAGAUCUUAUGGGGAAGACCUUAUCUAAAAUAAUAUUGAUUCUGAUCAAAAGGGAUGACCAGGAUUUGCCUAGUCCCAUGAAUGCAGAUUCAAUGCAAAAAAAAAACAAAAAAAACAAAAACAAAAGCAAAAACAAAAACAAAAAAAAGAGGGAAAAAGGAAAAAAAAAGAAGAACAAAAAACAAAAACAAAAAGAAACAAAAAAAACCUCCACCGGGGCAAUGCCUUUCUCUUUAGCUUAUCAUGGUUUUUCCAUUGAAGUUGAAAUUCUUUUUCUCUGGGUAUUGGCUGAGUUGAAGUAGGAUGAAGAUCCAAUCUCGAUAUGAUCAGUUGAACUUAAUUGAAGGAAAAAGGCUAAAAGUUAUUCGUCACGGUCAGAUGUACCAAAAACGGAUAAUGCGAGCUUACAACAAAAAGGUUCGUCUCAGAGAAUUCCACGACAGAGAUUUGGUAUUGAAAAGAUCCUUCAUCUACAAAAAGAUUUUUUAGAGAAAUGAGUGCCAAAUUGGGAAUGUCCUUAUGUUGUAAAGAAUACCUUCUCUGGAGGAGCACUGAUUUUGAGUGAGAUGGAUAGUAAAAACUUGUCUAAUCCUAUAAACUCAGAAUCAGUCAAGAAAUACUUCGCUUAAAGAAGGAGAGGACCAAGGUAAAAAUCCGCAAAGGGCACUUUGAGUCGCAAAAAAAAAAGAGAAGAAAAAAUAUGUGAAAAAAUAAAAAUGGAAAAAUGAAAAAUGAAAAAUAGAAAAAGUAAAAAUGGAGAGGCUAAUGUGAAAACUCGCAAAGGGCGCCUUAGACCAAAAGGGAUUUGAGUUGAAAACCCGAAAAGGGCGGCUCAAAUUUUGAUCAGAAUAGGGCUGGAAAUGAUCAGAGUGGCUCAGAUUUUGAUUGGAAUGGGGCGUGUGGUGGUCUUGAUAUACCUGAAUCAACAGGAAAGGGUAUGCGACAUCUUGGGGCAUCGACAAAGUUUGUAGAUAUCCUAAACACAUGUCAAACUCAGAAUGGUCUUUAGGAAGUUUGUACAGAGAAGUUCAAGCUGCGUUAUCUGGGGCACCUAGUCUUCAUACUAUUUAUAUUGAAUUGCUUAUUCUUGGAAUACUUCAUUCUUUUCAAGAUAUGAGUCAAUUCCUCUUUUAUUCUCAAUAUUAUUGAUAUAUUCAUUUCAAGCUAUGCUCUCAAAUCAAUUAUAUUUUAUCCAUUGUUUUAUUCUUUUGGCAAGCGUGUUGUAUUAGAAUAAUGAUUAAUGGACUAAUAAAACUUUCACAAAGGAAGUUUUACAUAUUACUCUAGAAGUUUCUAAAUAAUACAGGAACCUGAAACAAGUCUAUUGUUUAGAAUACACCUAGUUUAAAGGUGGGAAAUCUAAGAAGGAAGAGUCUUAAUUAAGACUAUCUCUUUGGAUUUUGUUGUCAAAGGCAUUAAUUGAACAAAAUGACAAGAUGUCGUGUUAGUGAUAAAGCUUCAUUGAGCAAAUAAGCAAUGAUGAUCAGGCAAUAGAAAGAGGUUACCUCGAAGAAGAGAGCCUUCAUUUUUGCAUGAGUCUUUGGUAUGACACCUUGGGAACGGUGUAAAGAACUAGAACAAUUUAGGUCUUGUAUCCUUGAAUUGUGAUAAGGAAGGAUUGAGGAAAAGCCACAUAUUUUUACCAUUGGGUUACGGUGGAAAAAUGAUGGUACAAUUUUUACAUCCCAGUGGAUUAAACUUUGAGGUUUACAGUGGGGGAAACCUGAUUAAAUGUUUCUUCUGAAAAGCCAGCUAAGCAAGAAGGCGUUAUAGCACGUCAGAGAUAAAGCCUUAAUAAACUUUGAGCAAUGAUAACCUAAGAAGGAUCAUUCUUGAAAAAAUAUAGAAUAAAAUUUUGCAUUCAUGCAAACACCAUUCACACCUGUCUAGUUAGGAGCAUUGGAUUCAUUUUGAUCAUGCCAUUAGGCAUAAUUAGGUUCAUUAUACAGGUUAUGUUUUAUAGAGAACAGAUCAGGGGAAAUGGCAGAUCUUGCCUUCCUGCAUAGACAGCGAAGCAGAUCAAAGAUGGCAGAUUUUACCUUCCUGUGGUUACAGUGGAGUACAUUGAAGCCAGUAAUUCUACUUCCCUGGGCAGCAAUGGAAUAGAUUGAAGAUUUCAGAUCUUGUCUCCCUAAGCAGUAGUGGAGCAGAUCAAAGAUGACAGAUUUUACCUCCCUGUGGUUAUAGUGGAGUACAUUGAAGCCAAUAAUUCUACUUCCUUGGGCAGCAGUGGAAUAGAGUGAAGAUUACAUAUCUUAUCUCCCUAAGAAGUAGCAGAGUAGAUCGAAUACACUAACCUUGCCUCCCUUGGUGGCAGCGGAGCAGGUUAAAAAAAAUUUACAGAUCUUAUCUCCCUAGGCAGUAGCGGAGUAGAUCGAAGACACUAACCUUGCCUCCCUCGGUGGCAGCGGAGCAGGUUAAAGAUAGCAAAUCUUACCUUCCUAUACUGACAGUGAAGCAGAUCGAAGACGCUAACCUUGCCUCCCUCGGUGGCAGCGGAGCAGGUUAAAAAAAUUACAGAUUUUAUCUUCCUAAGCAGUAGUGGAGCAGAUCGCAACCAGCCUUGUCUCCCUGGCAAUAGUGGAGUAGGUUGAAAAUAGCAGAUCUUGCCUUCCUGUACUGACAGAGAAGCAAAUCGAAGAUACUAACCUUGCCUCCCUCGGUGGCAGCGGAACAGGUUAAAGAUAGCAGAUCUUGCCUUCCUGUACUGGCAGUGAAGCAGAUCGAAGACACCAGUCUUAUCGCCUUGACGAUUGAAGCCACAAUGGCAAAUCUUAUUUCCUUGGCGUUGUAGCGGAGUAGAUUGAAGCCACGAAGGCGUAUAUUAUCUCCCUGGCGUUAAGGCUUGGUUUAGCUGAAGUGGAGCGGAUUGAAGUUGUGGGAAGCGAAUCCUAUCUCUUUGGCAUUACAGUGGAACGGAUUGAAGCCACAACGGCAGGUCUUAUCUCCCUGAGGUUGCAGUGGAGCGGAUUAAAACCACAGAUCUUACUCUCUGAAGUUGUAGAGAGCAGAUCGCAUCAGACUUAUUUUUAAAGUUUUAGCAAAAUAAGUUGAAGUUACAAGUCUUAUCUCCCUGAAGUUGCAGUGAGGCAGACUAAAGAUAACAGAUUUUGUUCUUUUUAGAAGCUACAAGGUACAAAUCUUAUCUCCCUGAUGUUGCACUGGAGUGGAUCAAAGUACCAAUUCUUAUACCUCUGAAGAUGCAAUUGGUUAGAACGAGGUUACUUGAAGAAGAGAAGCACUGAAGAAGUUGAGGCUCGGUAAGACCGGACACAAUUGGGCUUUUUAGUCUUUGCUCUGUUCCCAUUACAUGACAACGAGCAAAGAGGGGCAGCUGUAAUACCCAAUUGGUGCUUAGGGCCCAAACUUAAUACAAACCCAAAUACAACACUCAGCCCAAAUACUUUUAAAUCCAAAAAAUGGCCCAAAACACAAUAAUCCACACUGGCCCAAUACCUAGCCCUAACAAUUCUCAACAGUAGAAACCCUAGGUAGUUUUCGUGCUUCAGUGCCGCAGUAACCGCUUCCACGCCCCACGUUCAGCACACGCGCAUGUCCUCCACGACCUUUACACCUACGGAAAAACUAAUCCAAACGACAGUAGAUGUGGCAAAUAACGGGAUAGAUAGUUUUU